Molecule: ribosomal RNA, 446 nt
Filed under: uncultured bacterium
Lineage: Bacteria
Description: partial 16S ribosomal RNA
Rfam family: Bacterial small subunit ribosomal RNA
Source: RNAcentral
CCCAGACUCCUACGGGAGGCAGCAGUGGGGGAUAUUGCACAAUGGGGGGAACCCUGAUGCAGCGACGCCGCGUGGGUGAAGGAGCGUUUCGGCGCGUAAAGCCCUAUCGGCAGGGAAGAAGGAGGACGGUACCUGACUAAGAAGCCCCGGCUAACUACGUGCCAGCAGCCGCGGUAAUACGUAGGGGGCAAGCGUUAUCCGGAUUUACUGGGUGUAAAGGGGGCGCGGACGGCAGCGCAAGCCAGGAGUGAAAGCCCGGGGCCCAACCCCGGGACUGCUCUUGGAACUGCGCGGCUGGAGUGCAGGAGGGGCAGGCGGAAUUCCUGGUGUAGCGGUGAAAUGCGUAGAUAUCAGGAGGAACACCGGUGGCGAAGGCGGCCUGCUGGACUGCGACUGACGUUGAGGCCCGAAAGCGUGGGGAGCAAACAGGAUUAGAUACCCUCGUA